Molecule: ribosomal RNA, 253 nt
Filed under: uncultured bacterium
Lineage: Bacteria
Description: partial 16S ribosomal RNA
Rfam family: Bacterial small subunit ribosomal RNA
Source: RNAcentral
UACGGAGGGUGCGAGCGUUGUCCGGAUUUAUUGGGUUUAAAGGGUGCGUAGGUGGCUUGAUAAGUCAGUGGUGAAAUGCGGUCGCUCAACGAUCGAACUGCCAUUGAUACUGUCAGGCUUGAGACAAGUGGAGGUUGCCGGAACGGAUGGUGUAGCGGUGAAAUGCAUAGAUAUCAUCCAGAACACCGAUUGCGAAGGCAGGUGACUACGUUUGAUCUGACACUGAGGCACGAAAGCAUGGGGAGCAAACAGG